Molecule: transfer RNA, 74 nt
Filed under: Alkalibaculum bacchi
Lineage: Bacteria; Bacillati; Bacillota; Clostridia; Eubacteriales; Eubacteriaceae
Rfam family: tRNA
About the family: Transfer RNA (tRNA) molecules are approximately 80 nucleotides in length. Their secondary structure includes four short double-helical elements and three loops (D, anti-codon, and T loops). Further hydrogen bonds mediate the characteristic L-shaped molecular structure. tRNAs have two regions of fundamental functional importance: the anti-codon, which is responsible for specific mRNA codon recognition, and the 3' end, to which the tRNAs corresponding amino acid is attached (by aminoacyl-tRNA synthetases). tRNAs cope with the degeneracy of the genetic code in two manners: having more than one tRNA (with a specific anti-codon) for a particular amino acid; and 'wobble' base-pairing, i.e. permitting non-standard base-pairing at the 3rd anti-codon position.
Source: Rfam by way of RNAcentral
GCGCCCGUAGCUCAGUAGGAUAGAGCAACAGUUUCCUAAACUGUGUGCCGGUGGUUCGAAUCCACUCGGGUGCG